Molecule: unclassified non-coding RNA, 2423 nt
Filed under: Apis mellifera (honey bee)
Lineage: Eukaryota; Metazoa; Arthropoda; Insecta; Hymenoptera; Apidae
Source: RNAcentral
GUAUGUUGAUUAGAAUGAUCUAGUUCCGAGUUGUAGGGGUGGGAGGGAGUUACUAUGUUUCAGCUAAGCUUGGAUAGAGAAAAAAAUCUAUUUAAUCGACGAGGUAUAUAAAGAUGUACUGAAAAUAUAUUUUGGUAACUCCUAAUUGGAUAAAUAUGAAUAAUUUUUUAAUCUUAAUAAAUAUCACAAUCUAUAUAUCUAUUUAUAUAACUGCAUUUUUGACAAGAAAUAUUGAUAAAAAAAAAAAGGUAAAAAAAUCCGAUUUUUAAAAUAGAAAAGGCAUGUUUUGGUUGAAGGUAACAAUUUAAUAUGAUCAAUGAUUUGUAAUAAAUAGUUGAAAAAACGAGAAAUAGGUGAAAUUAUUAUACUGUAAGCUGCAGGUUUAGUAUUAUAUUUAUCUUUCAUCAUAAUGGAUGCUAUAUUAUCGAUGACAUUUUAUAAUAAUGGAGAUAUAUCCUAUAUUAUAUCUGCAAUACCAGGAAAUAAUUCUACAAUUUCAACUAUUUGAACUAUUCACAAUUAUAAUAGAUAAACAUGAUGCAAUAUAUUUCAUUCGGCUGAAGAAGAAAUUCAAUUGACAAUGGAAACAGAUUUCUGCUAAAAGAAGAGUAAAACUGAUUGUAAUAUAUAUCAUUGUUUACUAUUUUACGUUUAACUAUUUUAGAUCUACAAAAAUUGACAUUUCAUUUUAAUAAAUGUAUUUUAAAAUUACAUUUGACCUUGAUAUUUUUAUAAUUUAUCAAGAUAUAGGUAUAGGACAUAGGUCUAGGAAAAAGGAGACAAAGGAAUAAAGCUGCCGAUGGUUUUAUUUUUUCACAAUGAGAAAAAGGCGGAUUAGUAUAUAUUUCAAAUAAUUUAAAUAUAAAAUUAGUUAUAGCAUGUUAAUAAGCAUGGUAGUGUUAUAUUCAUAGAAAUGCUCAAAUUAUCGUUAUUUAAAUAUACCUGGCUUGGCUCUUUUGGAUGUUUGUGAUUUUUGCUUCAGGAAAUCGAAGAUAAUUUUAUUCUUAUAUGAAUUUUAUGAUAAAUUUUCUAUUCUAUGGAGAAAAAUGCUAUGAAAUACACCUGAAUAUGUAUGUAUUAUAUAAAUAUUAUUUUUAUUAUAUUUAGAAAACGAUGCCGGAUAUAUGAACAGUAUAAAUAUAAAGCUUAUAUUCAAGAUAACAACGGGGUGAAUAACUAUCGAUAUUUGAUAUAUUUAUGAAGAUAAGUUUUCAAUUAUAUUUAAAUAUGAUAAUAUAUAAGUUGAAAUAAAUUUUUAUUGAAAUUUUUUAUUUAAAAGAAAAAGAUGAAGGAUUAAAUUACUAACUUUAUAGUAUCUAGAUACAUUUCAGAAAAUUUGUGAUAUAGAAAAAAAUUUUCUAAAUGGAAGAGAGGUCAUUGUUAUAUCAUCUUAGCCGAGAUUUGAUUAAGACUUGGCUGAAUCUAAAUUUAUUUUAGAUAAUAAAAAAAGUAUGUGUCAGGUAAAUUAAAUGUUCAAAAAACUUACAUAUUUUAAAAAUGUAUUUAAAAUAUGUUGUUAAAAAUAACUUCGGUUAUAUCAAGAUUAUAGUUUAUCUAAAUUGAUGAACAUGAGUUUUCAUUUUCGAUUUUACUUUUUGAAGAAAAUAUCGAAUAUUAAAUCGAAUAUAUCUAUUCAAGAAAAAUUUAAAUCAAGAUAAAUUGUUACAACUUGAAAUGCUGAUUACGUUCAAUUAAAUGGAUCAUUGGAUAAUUGAAAUAUAUUCGACAAGAUUUUUAAAUUAAUAACUUUAUAAAUCUCUCCUAAUUAGAAAAGAAAUAUAAAUGUUCUUUUUUUUUAUUGAGAAAUGAUUUUAAAUCUAAUAAAUAAUGAUCUGAAAUUAAUUCGAGUAAAAUCUGUCGUACAUACAACAAUUGAAGAUUUUGAAUGUAAAAAAAAUUGACGCAAAAUUAAAAUAGGAUUUAAUUUUUCAUUAAAAAGUAAGAAUUGUUUAAUAAAAUAUAUUUUUAAUUAAGUACAUAAUAUUCAAUCAGUAAUAAAUUUUUUCAUUUCAGAUUUAAUGAUGAGUGUACAUUUUCAGAACAUAUUUGAAAAUAUUUAAAAAAAUAUAUAUAUAUAAAAUUGAAGUAAUUUUCUUUGUAAUAAAAAAUAAUAUAAAGUGAAUAGAAUAAUAGAAAUACAAAUAGUAAUCUAUAACAUCUGGCAUAGUUCGAAUUAUUAAAAAUGAUUAUAUUCUUCAAAAAACAUAACCUUAAGUUAGUAUUAAAUCAAUAUUAAAAUACAAGUUUCAAUUUGAAUAUAAUUAAAAAACUAUACUAUCAUAAAAACAUAGAAGAAAAACAAAGUUGAUUAUAAUGUAUUGUGAAAGUAAUAUAUAACAAUAAUAAUUUAAGAUAUGAAAAUUUAUAUUGAUAUUCGAAAAAUUUAAAUUGCAUUCACUACAUAUUAUUUCGUAAAAUUGUAG